GUCUUAUCAAGAGAGGUGGAGGGACUGGCCCUAUGAAACCCGGCAACCAGUAUACAUUUUUAGUGUACAAUGGUGCUAAAUCCUGCAGUGUAAACUGAAAGAUGAGGA
Molecule: non-coding RNA, 108 nt
Filed under: Clostridium novyi
Lineage: Bacteria; Bacillati; Bacillota; Clostridia; Eubacteriales; Clostridiaceae
Also listed under: 1 other name
Description: SAM-I sequence
Rfam family: SAM riboswitch aptamer (S box leader)
About the family: The SAM riboswitch is found upstream of a number of genes which code for proteins involved in methionine or cysteine biosynthesis in Gram-positive bacteria. The SAM riboswitch acts at the level of transcription termination control. The predicted structure consists of a complex stem-loop region followed by a single stem loop terminator region.
Source: RNAcentral